GUCCACGCUGUAAACGAUGAUCACUCGGUGUUGGGAGUUCGACCCUCUCAGUGCCUAAGCUAACGCGAUAAGUGAUCCGCCUGGGAAGUACGGUCGCAAGACUAAACUCAAAGGAAUAGACGGGGACCCACACAAGCGGUGGAGCGUGUGGUUUAAUUCGACAAUAAGCGAGGAACCUUACCUAGGCUUGACAUCUCGAGAAUACACCCGAAAGGGAGUAGUGCCGUAAGGAACUCGAUGACAGGUGCUGCAUGGUUGCCGU
RNAcentral lists this ribosomal RNA (262 nucleotides) under uncultured bacterium. RNAcentral's name for it is "partial 16S ribosomal RNA". It matches the Rfam family "Bacterial small subunit ribosomal RNA", at positions 793 to 1055 of the family's 1533-position model. The record is from RNAcentral.